GACGAACGCUGGCGGCGUGCUUAACACAUGCAAGUCGAACGGUGAACCAGGGCUUGCCCUGGGGAUCAGUGGCGAACGGUGAGUAACACGUGGGCAACCUGCCCCUGACUCUGGGAUAACUCCUCGAAAGAGGUGCUAAUACCGGAUACGACCACUUCGGGCAUCCGAUGGUGGUGGAAAGAAUUUUUGGUCAGGGAUUGGGGGCCCCGCGGCCCUUAUCAGCUUGUUGGUGGGGUAACGCCCACCAAGGCGACGACGGGUAGCCGGCCUGAGAGGGCGACCGGCCACACUGGGACUGAGACACGGCCCAGACUCCUACGGGAGGCAGCAGUGGGGAAUAUUGCGCAAUGGGCGAAAGCCUGACGCAGCGACGCCGCGUGAGGGACGACGGCCUUCGGGUUGUAAACCGUCUUUCAGCAGGGACGAAGCGAAAGUGACGGUACCUGCAGAAGAAGCACCGGCUAACUACGUGCCAGCAGCCGCGGUAAU
Molecule: ribosomal RNA, 489 nt
Filed under: uncultured bacterium
Lineage: Bacteria
Description: bacterial SSU rRNA
Rfam family: Bacterial small subunit ribosomal RNA
Source: RNAcentral